UGGCUCAGAUUGAACGCUGGCGGCAUGCUUUACACAUGCAAGUCGAACGGCAGCGGGGGCUUCGGCCCGCCGGCGAGUGGCGAACGGGUGAGUAAUGCAUCGGAACAUGCCCAGUCGUGGGGGAUAACUACUCGAAAGAGUAGCUAAUACCGCAUACGUCCUGAGGGAGAAAGCGGGGGAUCUUCGGACCUCGUGCGAUUGGAGUGGCCGAUGUCGGAUUAGCUAGUAGGUGGGGUAAAGGCCCACCUAGGCGACGAUCCGUAGCUGGUCUGAGAGGAUGAUCAGCCACACUGGGACUGAGACACGGCCCAGACUCCUACGGGAGGCAGCAGUGGGGAAUUUUGGACAAUGGGCGCAAGCCUGAUCCAGCCAUGCCGCGUGAGUGAAGAAGGCCUUCGGGUUGUAAAGCUCUUUCAGUCGGGAAGAAAAGGCGGGCUCUAACAUAGCCCGUUGCUGACGGUACCGACAGAAGAAGCACCGGCUAACUACGUGCCAGCAGCCGCGGUAAG
Molecule: ribosomal RNA, 509 nt
Filed under: uncultured Azoarcus sp.
Lineage: Bacteria; Pseudomonadati; Pseudomonadota; Betaproteobacteria; Rhodocyclales; Zoogloeaceae
Description: bacterial SSU rRNA
Rfam family: Bacterial small subunit ribosomal RNA
Source: RNAcentral